ACCGGCGCACGGGUGCGUAACGCGUAUGCAACCUACCCACUCCCGGGGGAUAGCCCGCCGAAAGGCGGAUUAAUACCCCAUGGACCCUUAGCCCCGCAUGGGGCGGAGGGUAAAGCUCCGGCGGGAGUGGAUGGGCAUGCGUGCCAUUAGCUAGCUGGCGGGGUAACGGCCCACCAGGGCUACGAUGGCUAGGGGGUCUGAGAGGAUGAUCCCCCACACUGGUACUGAGACACGGACCAGACUCCUACGGGAGGCAGCAGUGAGGAAUAUUGGUCAAUGGGCGGAAGCCUGAACCAGCCAUGCCGCGUGCAGGACGACGGCCCUACGGGUUGUAAACUGCUUUUCCGGGGGAAGAAUAAGGCCCAUGCGUGGGCCGAUGCCGGUACCCCGGGAAUAAGGAUCGGCUAACUCCGUGCCAGCAGCCGCGGUAAUACGGAGGAUCCUAGCGUUAUCCGGAUUUACUGGGUUUAAAGGGUGCGUAGGCGGGCCCCUCAGUCAGCGGUGAAAGUCUGCGGCUCAACCGUAGGAUUGCCGUUGAUACUGGGGGUCUUGAAUUCGGUCAAGGUGGGCGGAAUGCGUGGUGUAGCGGUGAAAUGCUUAGAUAU
This 605-nucleotide ribosomal RNA is filed under the name uncultured bacterium. Its description in RNAcentral is "bacterial SSU rRNA". It matches the Rfam family "Bacterial small subunit ribosomal RNA", at positions 94 to 697 of the family's 1533-position model. The record is from RNAcentral.